AGCCUUUUGAUUUCAAGUUUAUAAAAGGUUUGACCUGCUCACUGAGAAUUUUCUUAAAGGGCUGCAGUAUUCUGACUGUACUAAGGUAGCAUAAUCAUUUGGCCACUAAUUAUGGUCUGGAAUGAAAGGUUUUACGGGAUAAAGCUGUCUCUCUUAGAAUAUUUAGAAUUUUACUUGGAGGUGAAGAGGCCUCUAAAAAAAGGUCAGACGAGAAGACCCCAGGAGCUUGUUAUUGUUGGAGAACAUAUUUAAGAAAAUCUCGAAUGAUUGUUUGGUUGGGGCGACCCUGGGAUAUUAUUAACUCCCUGUUACAUUUUAUUUCAAAUAAAAUUAGAUGACGAUCCUUGGUUAAAAACAUUGUAUCAAGAAACAAGAGAUCAAGCUACCCUGGGGAUAACAGCAUAAUCCCCUUAUAGAGACCCCAUCGAAAAGGGGGGUUAUGACCUCGAUGUUGGACUAAGGUUACUUU
Molecule: ribosomal RNA, 469 nt
Filed under: Caecum japonicum
Lineage: Eukaryota; Metazoa; Mollusca; Gastropoda; Littorinimorpha; Caecidae
Description: partial 16S rRNA
Rfam family: Bacterial large subunit ribosomal RNA
Source: RNAcentral